This is a non-coding RNA of Kogia breviceps (pygmy sperm whale), 2557 nucleotides long. The record is from RefSeq and is a predicted model, not a curated record. Lineage: Eukaryota; Metazoa; Chordata; Mammalia; Artiodactyla; Physeteridae.
CCAGUAGCUCAGAGCGAGUGCUGGCGGGCGCCAUGGCCGCUGGUCCGCGCGGGAAGGCCGCGACUCUGGCCCUGAGGAGACGGCUACUCAGCAAUUCCUGCAGACUCUUUUUUCCUGAGGAUCCUAUUAAGAUUGUCCGGGGCCAAGGGCAGUACAUGUACGAUGAACAGGGGGCAGAAUACAUCGAUUGCAUCAACAAUGUGGCUCACGUUGGGCACUGCCACCCUCUCGUGGUCCAAGCAGCACAUGAACAGAACCAGGUGCUCAACACCAACAGCCGGUACCUGCACGACAACAUCGUGGAUUAUGCACAGAGGCUGUCCGAGACCCUACCGGAGAAGCUCUGUGUGUUUUAUUUCCUGAAUUCUGGGUCAGAAGCCAACGACCUGGCCCUGAGGCUGGCGCGCCAAUACACAGGACACUGGGACGUGGUGGUAUUAGAUCAUGCUUAUCAUGGUCACCUGAGCUCCCUGAUCGACAUCAGCCCCUACAAGUUCCGGGACCUGGAUGGCCAGAAGGAGUGGGUCCAUGUGGCACCUCUCCCAGACACCUACCGGGGCCCCUACCGGGAGGAUCACCCCAAUCCAGCUGUGGCCUAUGCCAGCGAGGUGAAACGUGUGGUCGGCAGCGCACAGGAGAAGGGCAGGAAGAUUGCAGCGUUCUUUGCUGAGUCUCUGCCCAGUGUGGGAGGGCAGAUCAUUCCCCCUGCUGGCUACUUCCCAGAAGUGGCAGGGCACAUCCGCAGGGCCGGAGGGGUCUUUGUUGCAGACGAGAUUCAAGUGGGCUUUGGCCGAGUAGGCAAGCACUUCUGGGCCUUCCAGCUGCAGGGAGAAGACUUUGUCCCCGACAUUGUCACCAUGGGCAAGUCCAUUGGCAAUGGCCACCCUGUAGCCUGUGUGGCCACAACACAAGCUGUGGCGAGGGCAUUUGAAGCCACCGGCGUCGAGUACUUCAAUACGUUUGGGGGCAGCCCAGUGUCCUGCGCUGUGGGGCUGGCCGUCCUGGAUGUCUUGGAAAAGGAGCAGCUGCAGGCUCAUGCUGCCUCUGUGGGCAGCUUCCUGAUGGAGCUCCUUGGACAGCAGAAAGCCAAACAUCCCAUCCUUGGGGACAUCAGGGGCGUUGGGCUCUUCAUUGGUGUGGAUCUGAUCAAAGAUGAGGCCACAAGGAUGCCAGCAACCGAAGAGGCGGACUAUGUGGUGUCCAGGCUGAAAGAAAACUACAUUUUGUUGAGCACCGAUGGCCCCGGGAGGAAUGUCCUGAAGUUCAAGCCCCCGAUGUGUUUCAGCUUGGACAACGCACGACACGUGGUAGCAAAGCUGGAUGCCAUCCUGACAGGUGAGCCUGGAGACCCAAGGGGCAGCUGAUAACUGUGUCUCUAGAACCCAGCCUGGAGCUAGGACCUCCCAGCAUGCCCAGGGACAGGGUUGCAACAGCUGAGCCAGGUGUCCUCUGAACAGUGCAGGGAGUAGGGAGCUGAAGUGGAGGCCUCCCCUAUUCCUGCCUGUGCCCGCAAAAAAUCUGAGCCCUGGGCAGGUGGGAACUGAGCCACCACCCAUACUGCCUGGCAGGCACCAGUGUGGCAUGCAGGACAAGGGAAGCAGGGCUGGGCUUUUAAGCCCAACUAUUGGAACUAGUGGGAGAUUCCAUUGUCUUUGCUUUUUUCAGCUUCUAAGUGGCUGAAAUGAGAUUUGCACCCUGGACUGAUUCAACACAAAAUGAAAUCCUUCUGCACAUUCUUCAUCAUUUAGGAAAGUCAAGCUCUCCCCUAAAUCCACUUACAAGGAUAUCUAUAAUUACCAAAUUGGACACAUCUAUGCACUGAGGCCAUGUUGCAUGUACAGAGCUCAGUGGGGGACCCCAAAAUAGGCAAAAUGCUUAUCUUCCUGGUAGAGAUCAGAGCAGCCCAGCUACAACCACCCCCACCCCACCCCCAAGCUAUUUCACUGCUGUCCCCAGGUUUCUAGAGCUGAGGCCAGUCCCUACUAGACACAACUGGAGGUGGUACAGAACGUGCUGGGGGAAGGGAAUGUAUUUCCUGGAAGCCUGCGGAGGAAAAGCUGACUGGGCACAGAACUGGCUUGGAGUUACUGUAUAGAGGAGACUUCAGUUGAGCCUGGAAGCCUCAGGAAAUCUGAGGGUGGGUUUUGUCCUCUUGGGAAAUUGUUGCUGACCCUGUGGUGGCCUGUACACACGGGUAAAGGGUGGGACGUGGGCUUGGACAGGCCAGUGGGCCCAAUCUCCACACUGCCAUCCAAGAAGCCUGGACACUGAAGGCAGAAGUCUUUAGCAGAGAAAGGUUGACCAUCUUUUUCAGACAUGGAAGAGAAAGUGAGAAGUUGUGAGACACUGAGGCUCCAGCCCUGAGGCAGCUCUGCUGAGGGGUGUCCUCUAGGUAAGUGGCCUUUCCUAGAGAACCAGAACUGGGUUCCUUACCAUCCAUUUAGUAGCUCCUUCAACAUUCUUGUUGCAAGUGAUGUCCCCUUCCCACAAGUUAGUUUUAAUACUGGGAGACUCUAGCUGCCUUGGGCUCUCCCCAUCCCCCACCCCUGAAAAAUCU